Molecule: ribosomal RNA, 432 nt
Filed under: uncultured bacterium
Lineage: Bacteria
Description: partial 16S ribosomal RNA
Rfam family: Bacterial small subunit ribosomal RNA
Source: RNAcentral
AACGAACGCUGGCGGCAUGCCUAACACAUGCAAGUCGAACGAGACCUUCGGGUCUAGUGGCGCACGGGUGCGUAACGCGUGGGAACCUGCCCUUAGGUUCGGAAUAACUCCCCGAAAGGGGUGCUAAUACCGGAUAAUGUCUUCGGACCAAAGAUUUAUCGCCUUUGGAUGGGCCCGCGUUGGAUUAGCUAGUUGGUAGGGUAAAAGCCUACCAAGGCGACGAUCCAUAGCUGGUCUGAGAGGAUGAUCAGCCACACUGGGACUGAGACACGGCCCAGACUCCAAGGGAGGGAGCCAGUGGGAAAAAUGGAACAUGGGGCGAAGGCUGAACCCGCAAUGCCCCGGGAAUGAAGAAGGGCUUUGGGUUGGAAAAGCCCUUUAACCGGGAAGAUUAAGGACAUAACCGGAGAAAAAAGCCCGGGUAAACUCGUG